This 221-nucleotide unclassified non-coding RNA is filed under the name Hevea brasiliensis (rubber tree). Lineage: Eukaryota; Viridiplantae; Streptophyta; Magnoliopsida; Malpighiales; Euphorbiaceae. The record is from RNAcentral.
UAACCGUCACAGAUCUGGGAGUUCUCCAGAUCUAUUUUCCCGCACUGAUACCAUGUGAGAAAACGAGAAAAUGAACUGAAUAAUGUUUUUCUUGUAUUGAUCAACUGCACUAAGAAGGGUAUUUAUACAAGUAAUAUACAUGCCAGCUGGCAGAGUUAAAUAAACUAACUAAUCUCUACAAAUCUAGCCAAAUCCACAUUCUGAUUUGAGUGACUUCAGUU